GUUGCUUCUGUUCUGGAAGAGUGGCUUCCACUGGAGUCAUUCUGUAGUGAGAAGCAUAUAUUUAAUUUGGCCAGUGUUAAACAGCAUGAUGUUAUAGAAUAGCAUUAUGUUACCUGUCUCCUGGUAAAUUA
This is a non-coding RNA of Musa acuminata subsp. malaccensis (wild Malaysian banana), 131 nucleotides long. NCBI's taxonomy places the organism in Eukaryota, Viridiplantae, Streptophyta, Magnoliopsida, Zingiberales, Musaceae. The record is from Rfam.